Molecule: ribosomal RNA, 527 nt
Filed under: Streptomyces mutabilis
Lineage: Bacteria; Bacillati; Actinomycetota; Actinomycetes; Kitasatosporales; Streptomycetaceae
Description: bacterial SSU rRNA
Rfam family: Bacterial small subunit ribosomal RNA
Source: RNAcentral
AGCCUGAUGCAGCGACGCCGCGUGAGGGAUGACGGCCUUGGGGUUGUAAACCUCUUUCAGCAGGGAAGAAGCGAAAGUGACGGUACCUGCAGAAGAAGCGCCGGCUAACUACGUGCCAGCAGCCGCGGUAAUACGUAGGGCGCAAGCGUUGUCCGGAAUUAUUGGGCGUAAAGAGCAAGUAGGCGGCUUGUCACGUCGGUUGUGAAAGCCCGGGGCUUAACCCCGGGUCUGCAGUCGAUACGGGCAGGCUAGAGUUCGGUAGGGGAGAUCGGAAUUCCUGGUGUAGCGGUGACAUGCGCAGAUAUCAGGAGGAACACCGGUGGCGAAGGCGGAUCUCUGUGCCGAUACUGACGCUGAGGAGCGAAAAUGUGGGGAGCGAACAGGAUUAGAUACCCUGGUAGUCCACGCCGUAACGGUGGGCACUAGGUGUGGGCAACAUUCCACGUUGUCCGUGCCGCAGCUAACGCAUUAAGUGCCCCGCCUGGGGAGUACGGCCGCAAGGCUAAAACUCAAAGGAAUUGACGGGG